RNAcentral lists this ribosomal RNA (505 nucleotides) under uncultured bacterium. Its description in RNAcentral is "partial 16S ribosomal RNA". It matches the Rfam family "Bacterial small subunit ribosomal RNA", at positions 28 to 507 of the family's 1533-position model. The record is from RNAcentral.
GACGAACGCUGGCGGCGUGCCUAAUACAUGCAAGUAGAACGCACAGUUUAUACCGUAGCUUGCUACACCAUAGACUGUGAGUUGCGAACGGGUGAGUAACGCGUAGGUAACCUGCCUGGUAGCGGGGGAUAACUAUUGGAACCGAUAGCUAAUACCGCAUAAUAUUGAUUAUUGCCUGAUAAUUGAUUGAAAGAUGCGAUUGCAUCACUACCAGAUGGACCUGCGUUGUAUUAGUUAGUAGGCGAGGUAACGGCUCACCUAGGCGAGGAUACAUAGCCGACCUGGGAGGGUGGUCGGCCACACUGGGACUGAGACACGGCCCAGACUCCUACGGGAGGCAGCAGUAGGGAAUCUUCGGCAAUGGACGAAAGUCUGACCGAGCAACGCCGCGUGAGUGAAGAAGGUUUUCGGAUCGUAAAGCUCUGUUGUAAGAGAGGAACGGGUGUGAGAGUGGAAAGUUCACACUGUGACGGUAUCUUACCAGAAAGGGACGGCUAACUACGUG